Molecule: ribosomal RNA, 503 nt
Filed under: Klebsiella pneumoniae
Lineage: Bacteria; Pseudomonadati; Pseudomonadota; Gammaproteobacteria; Enterobacterales; Enterobacteriaceae
Description: bacterial SSU rRNA
Rfam family: Bacterial small subunit ribosomal RNA
Source: RNAcentral
AUGUGGAGGGGGAUAACUACUGGAAACGGUAGCUAAUACCGCAUAAUGUCUCAAGACCAAAGUGGGGGACCUUCGGGCCUCAUGCCAUCUGAUGUGCCCAGAUGGGAUUAGCUAGUAGGUGGGGUAACGGCUCACCUAGGCGACGAUCCCUAGCUGGUCUGAGAGGAUGACCAGCCACACUGGAACUGAGACACGGUCCAGACUCCUACGGGAGGCAGCAGUGGGGAAUAUUGCACAAUGGGCGCAAGCCUGAUGCAGCCAUGCCGCGUGUGUGAAGAAGGCCUUCGGGUUGUAAAGCACUUUCAGCGGGGAGGAAGGCGUUAAGGUUAAUAACCUUGGCGAUUGACGUUACCCGCAGAAGAAGCACCGGCUAACUCCGUGCCAGCAGCCGCGGUAAUACGGAGGGUGCAAGCGUUAAUCGGAAUUACUGGGCGUAUAGCGCACGCAGGCGGUCUGUCAGUCGGAUGUGAAAUCCCCGGGCUCACCUGGGAACUGCAUUCGAA